RNAcentral lists this ribosomal RNA (215 nucleotides) under Triticum aestivum (bread wheat). RNAcentral describes it as "partial small subunit ribosomal RNA". Lineage: Eukaryota; Viridiplantae; Streptophyta; Magnoliopsida; Poales; Poaceae. The record is from RNAcentral.
UACAACUUUGUUCAGGUUUCCGAACAGUAAAAGUAACUUAUUCUGCUUCUAAAAUUCUUAGUGAGAGCGCCGUAAUAUAAUGUGUUUAUAAAGCAGGCCGUUCCGUGGGGCUACUACGGAGGCGAAACUACACAGUGUUCGUGUUGCUGGCCUGUAAAGCGAGUAAGGUCUAAAGGGUUCUCUAUCCUUAUUCCCUUUGUUCGCCGGAAGCUCUA